RNAcentral lists this unclassified non-coding RNA (329 nucleotides) under soil metagenome. Its description in RNAcentral is "partial contains 5.8S ribosomal RNA, internal transcribed spacer 2, and large subunit ribosomal RNA". The stretch from base 1 to 120 matches the Rfam family "5.8S ribosomal RNA", at positions 35 to 154 of the family's 154-position model. The record is from RNAcentral.
GAUGAAGAACGCAGCGAAAUGCGAUAAGUAAUGUGAAUUGCAGAAUUCAGUGAAUCAUCGAAUCUUUGAACGCACAUUGCGCCCCUUGGUAUUCCGAGGGGCAUGCCUGUUCGAGCGUCAUUAUAACCCCUCAAGCUCAGCUUGGUGUUGGGGCCUGCUGCACUGGCAGCCCUUAAAAUCAGUGGCGGCGCCAUCUGGCUCUAAGCGUAGUAAUUCUUCUCGCUAUGGAGUCUUGGUGGAUGCUUGCCAUCAACCCCCAAUUUUUCUAUGGUUGACCUCGGAUCAGGUAGGGAUACCCGCUGAACUUAAGCAUAUCAAUAAGCGGAGGA